RNA transcript from Phycodurus eques (leafy seadragon), 4998 nucleotides. It is a transcript of the gene named tripartite motif containing 33, with no coding region annotated. The record is from RefSeq and is a predicted model, not a curated record. The transcript has 20 exons. Lineage: Eukaryota; Metazoa; Chordata; Actinopteri; Syngnathiformes; Syngnathidae.
GACGUAGUCGUGGUUUGACAAGUCACGUAGGACGUGCAAGCGGUUCAAAGAGGAAGGAAGAUGGCGGAUAACAAAGGCGUCGAUGAUAUGGACCCGUCGCCAAACCCGGAGCCACCUCCUUCGGCGCAGGACAACGUGCAGGCGGAGACCCAAGCCGAAAUUGCGCCUACGGUCGUAGAAAGCGACCCAAAGGAAGCGGAAGAGACCGAGCAGCGUGUUCCCGCUCAUGAGGCGACAACAGCCACCGGCGAAGGAGGCGCCGAGGCUAGCAUCAGCAAUGUUAGCGGCAGCAGCAGCGCCGCUAGCCCUACGGACUGCAGCCCAAACGAUACCGAAGCCCCUGCUGCCGGCGGCGGACUCGCCUCGGAAAUGUCCCCCCCACCCACGGCCCCGGCGGCCACACCGGUACCGACUCCCAUUAAUUUAUUGGAUACGUGCGCAGUGUGUAAACAAAGUCUUCAAAGCCGAGAGUGCGAACCAAAACUUCUCCCUUGCCUGCACUCGUUUUGUCUUAAAUGUAUCCCGCAACCAGACAGGCAGAUCAGCGUGCAGGUGACUGGACCGCACGGGCAAACCAACACACAUAUCGUAAAUGUUAUGCGAUGCUCGGUGUGCCACCAGGACUACAAACAGAAUGAUAUUGUUGACAACUACUUCGUUAAAGAUACCUCAGAGGCGACCAUCACCUCGGAUGAAAAAGCUGCACAGGUGUGCACAAGUUGUGAGGACAAUGCAGGAACCAUAGGAUUUUGCGUGGAGUGUGGAGAAUGGCUGUGUAAGACCUGUGUGGAGGCUCACCAGAGGGUCAAAAUAACCAAAGACCACAAGAUUCGCACUAAAGAGGAUCCAGACACCACUUCUGAGUCUGUGAGCGCAUCUGGACAGAGGCCUGUUUUUUGUCCCAUCCACAAGCAAGAGCCACUCAAGCUUUUCUGUGAGACCUGUGACACUUUGACUUGCCGGGACUGCCAGCUGCUUGAGCACAAGGAGCAUCGGUAUCAGUUCCUGGAGGAAGCUUUUCAUAACCAUAAAGGCAUCAUUGAGUCAACCGUGACCAAACUACAAGAGAAGAAAAACUAUGUCCAUUAUUCAGUAUCUCAAGUACAAAACAGGUUAAAAGAACUGUCCGAAACCCAUAAGAAGGUUGAACACGAGAUCAAGAUUGCGGUGUUUACUCUGAUAAAUGAGAUUAACAAAAAAGGGAAGUCUUUAUUACAACAGCUGGAGACUGUGACCAAAGAGCGCAGUGCAAGGCUGAUGGCCCAGCAUAAGGAUACCACUCAGCUGGCCCAGCAGAUCCACCAUGUGCUGAACUUCUGCCAAUGGGCCAUUUCGACUGGCAGCAGCACUGCACUGCUUUAUAGCAAGAGACCGAUCUUGUUCCAGCUCCGCCAGCUCUUUAAGGCGAGACUAGAGCCAGUGCCCGUGUCCAAUGGAGAAGUACGAUUUUUCUGUGACCCCACCUUCUGGGCCAAAAAUGUGGUGAAUUUAGGUAACCUGAUCAUCGAGAAGCCACCGCCACCUGCACAUCCACCCAAUAUGAUGGGUGGUGGCGCUCCCAUUUCACCAGGCCAAGGUCAACACGGCAAAAGUCAAGGGCAGAUCAAUCUGGCCCAGCUCCGUCUGCAGCACAUGCAGCAGGCGGCCUUCGCACAGAAGCAGCAACAUCUCCAGCAACAGCACCACCACCAGCAGCAGCAGCAACAACAGCAGAUGCAGCAACAGAUGCGCCUUGCUUCGCAAAUGCCUCAGCAACAUUCCAGACAGACUGUCCCACCCAUGGUUCAGCAGCAGCCUCCCAGACUCAUCAGUAUGCAGCAGCACCCAAGGGGGCAAAUGGUCCUAAACGGUGGGCCCGUUCCCUCCAUGUAUACCUCGUCCCACCACAUGCGUCUACCGGGCCCACCACAGGGCAGGAUACCCACAGCUCAGCCGAGACACAACGGGCAGCAAUAUCCCAGUAUGAUUCAGUCUCACCUACAGCGACAGCAUUCCAACCCAGGCCAUGCUGGCCCCUUCCCAGUGGCGUCGGGCCACAAUGCAAACCCCACAAGUCCCACCAGUGCCAGCAUGGCAGGAGCACACGCUCAUCGAGGGCCUGCCAACCCCGUCAUCGGUCCCAUUGAGCUCAUCCCCUCAGUCACGAACCCAGAGAACUUGCCCUGUCUACCGGAGAUCCCGCCCAUUCAGCUAGAGGAUGCCGGUUCCAGCCGCCUGAGCCACCUCCUGACUCGCGUCAUCACUGCCGGCCCGCAACAGCAGCCAGGUUCGAUGGACAUGAACCCCUCCCCAGGACUUUCUAUACACUCGCCUGGAUCAUCAGGUCUUUCAAAUGCACACACGCCAGCACGACCCUCCAGCACGUCCAGCACAGGCAGCAGAGGCAGUUGUAGCUCUACAGGAAGAGCAGCAGCAGGUGGGGGUACUAUGGAACCUGUCCGGGUCAAACAGGAGCCCGAUUCAGCUGAAAGUUACAGUUGUCCAGGUUCUUCCACAAAGUCGGAGCGAAGUCAAGAUUCUGGGAGAAGUGCUUGCAUGAUGAGCAGUCCUGAGAGCAGCACAAUUGAGAAAAUUAAAUCGGAGCUUGAGUCUGAGACCUCUUGCUCCGGGCUCAACGGCUCCAGUACACAGCUAACCAACGGAUAUAUGGCCAAAGGGCAGGGGGUGUCAACCGAGACCGGCAACCCUGAUGGGAAGGAGGACGACCCUAAUGAAGACUGGUGUGCUGUUUGCAUCAAUGGUGGCGACUUGCUGUGCUGUGACCGCUGUCCCAAAGUGUUCCACAUGAAAUGUCAUGUGCCCACCAUCAAAAUAUUCCCCAAAGGUGAUUUUCUGUGCACGUUUUGCCGGAGUAUAUCGAGUCCCGAGAUAAAGUACUGUGACGACAGCAGGAAAGUCAGUGGAGAGAAUGUCCUUAAUCCCGAGGACCAGAGGAGAUGUGAGCGCCUCCUGCUGUACGUCUUCUGUCAUGAGCUCAGUGUGGGCUUCAGGGAGCCCGUCCCUAGCUCUGUGCCAAACUACUACAGAAUCAUUAAGCACCCUAUGGACCUGAAAAAAGUGAAGGAAAAGCUGCAGCUACGGAGCUCUCAGUACUACAAAUCCAUCCAGGAAUUUGUGUCUGACAUGCGCAUCAUCUUCCAAAACUGUGCAAAGUACAAUGAGAUCUCCUGUAGAGCAGUGAUGUUUUGGGGCUGUCGAUGGGCAACACAGACUUUCAACUCCCUCACGCCAAAGAUUUUCUCUGGGGUUGGCAUCUGGAGACUAGGCCACUCCAGGACCUUGAAAUGCUUCGUACGAAGCCACUCCUUCGUUGCCCGGGUGGUGUGUUUGGGAUCGUUGUCAUGCUGUAAGACCCAGCCACGUUUCGUCUUCAAUGCCCUUGCUGAUGGAAGGAGGUUUUCAAUCAAAAUCUCACCAUACAUGGCCCCAUUCAUUAUUUCCUUUGCAGGAAAACAGCCCCAAAGCCUGAUGUUUCCACCCACAUGCGUCACAGUAGGUAUGGUGUUCUUUGGAUGCAACUCAGCAUUCUUUCUCCUCCAAACACAUCAAGUUGAGUUUUUACCAAAAAGUUCUAUUUUGGUUUCAUCUGACCAUCUGACAUUCUCCCAAUCCUCUUCUGGAUCAUUCAAAUGCUCUGUAGCAGACUUCAGAUGGGCUUGGACAUGUACUGGUUUAAGCAGGGGGACACUUGUGGCACUGGAGGAUUUGAGUCCUUGCUGGCGUAGUGUGUUACUGAUGGUAGUCUCAGUUACUUUGGUCUCAGCUCUGUGCAGGUCAUGCACUCGGCCCCCACUGUGUGGUUCUGGGAUUUUUGCUCACCGUUCUUGUGGUCAUUUUGACUCCAUCUCCCACAGUUGAUUUAUUCACACCAGGCUGCUUACCUAUUGCAGAUUCAGUCUUCCCAGCCUGGUGCACGUCUACAAUUUGGUUUCCGGUGUCCUUUGACAGAUCUUUGGACUUGGCCGUAGUGGAGUUUGGAGUGUGACUGUUUGAGGUUGUGGACAGGUGUCUUUUAUACUGAUAACGAGUUCAAACAGGUUCCAUUAAUACAGGUAACGAGUAGAGGACAGAGGAGUCUCUUAAAGAAGUUACAGGUCUGUGAGAGUCAGAAAUCUUGCUUGUUUGGAGGUGACCAAAUACUUAUUUUCCACCAAAAUUUGCUAAUAAAUUCUUUAAAAAUCAGACUGUGAUUUUUUUGGGAUGUUUUUUUUCUUUCUUUUCCCCCUCAAUUUGAUUCUCAUAGGUGAGGUACACCUAUUGUGAAAAUGCCAGGCCUCUCUCAUCUUUUGAAGUGGGAGAACUUGCACAAUUGGUGGCUGACUGAAUACUUUUUUGCCCCACUGUACACACUGACCCUUAUUGACUUCUUGUCACUUUAGUGGUUUUGUACCCAACAGACUUGUGCACUGCUCUUUCAUGUCCCCAUAGGUUGUAUGUCCAAUUUAAUGUUUUGUCCUUCACAUUUUGCAUUCCUUCUGUGGUGGUAUCACAAAUGGAAAAAGGCAAAAUAAAAAUAAAAGUUAAUCCUUUAGUUGCUCACUAAGAGCUUGCUAUAUAUUUUUAAAUCUUGUGAGAUUUGCAUUGGAGUAAUACCAAUACAGCAGCGAUUAGUGGUACCGGUAAAUGCAUUCUCUAAAGUGCACUUAGAAGCUUUUUUUUUGUUGUUGUUGCUUGAUUGUUUUUUUAGAAACUACAUCUCAAGUGAAAGUUGGUGCGUUUAGGAUGUUAACAACACUCACGAGUAAAGUUUCUUUUCCUGCUCGGAUGAUACGGGAUUGCCCUAGACACAGUCGACCAUGCACAGAGUUCCAAUCUGUUCUUACCUCAUCUGCCUAAACUGUGAACGCUUCUCCCCCUGCUACUUGACUGUCUGUUGUAAUGUUAUUGCCCCUUUUUAGAUGUCUCGAAUAAUCCAGGUUUAUGCUGAGGAGAAAGCGAUUAAUACGCAGGACGGAUCAGAGAUGGCUGUCUCUGGUAAGGCGGUGGGUUUGUACUUUG